ACUCACCUCUAUGUAAUUGUACAUGGAUAGGUCUGAAAUCGCGUGAUCAUCUGGGAUUCUCAAUCUUGAGAACACAGGAAGACACAAACCUUGCCCCAAACCAGCGUUGACAGUGUGUUCUUAUGCAUAAACCCUCUAUCAACCUCCAACGUCAUGUGUAAACCAGUCACGCGAGCACAAGGAAAGGAGGAAACAAAAUAUCUCUGGCUCCUGAGCAUCUGAGAGAGAUGACUGGGAAAUAACCAAAAAAAAAAAAAAAAAAAAAAAAGAAAAAAAAGAUGAGAAAAUUUGUCCUGGAAUUCUAUGAUCUCUUCAGACCCAGGCACCAGUAUUCUUGGACUUUCUAAAACACCACAGCAAACAUAUACUAUGAACUUACUUUACGUAGAGACGGGGUUUCACCAUGUUGACCAGGCUGGCCU
This 422-nucleotide long non-coding RNA is filed under the name Homo sapiens (human). RNAcentral's name for it is "HSALNT0299449". Lineage: Eukaryota; Metazoa; Chordata; Mammalia; Primates; Hominidae. The record is from RNAcentral.